Molecule: unclassified non-coding RNA, 284 nt
Filed under: plant metagenome
Description: partial contains small subunit ribosomal RNA, internal transcribed spacer 1, and 5.8S ribosomal RNA
Rfam family: Eukaryotic small subunit ribosomal RNA (bases 1-53)
Source: RNAcentral
GGAAGUAAAGUCGUAACAAGGCUUCCGUAGGUGAACCUGCGGAAGGAUCAUUAUUGUAUAACCGAGGUGCGAGGGCUGUCGCUGACCCGAAAGGUCGUGCACGCCCGAGUGCCCUCACACACAUCCAUCUCACCCCUAUGUGCACCACCGCGUGGGUCCCCCUUUGGCUUGUUCGGAGGGGGGCUUACGUUUUCACACAAACUUUGUAUGCAGUGUAGAAUGUAUUUUUUGUUUUUGCGAUCACGCAAUCAAUACAACUUUCAACAACGGAUCUCUUGGCUCUC